Molecule: ribosomal RNA, 480 nt
Filed under: uncultured bacterium
Lineage: Bacteria
Description: partial 16S ribosomal RNA
Rfam family: Bacterial small subunit ribosomal RNA
Source: RNAcentral
GACGAACGCUGGCGGCGUGCUUAACACAUGCAAGUCGAACGGAAAGGCCCUGCUUGUAGGGUACUCGAGUGGUGAACGGGUGAGUAACACGUGGGUGAUCUGCCCUGCACUUCGGGAUAAGCCUGGGAAACUGGGUCUAAUACCGGAUAGGACCACCGUUUAGUGUCGGUGGUGGAAAGUUUUUCGGUGCAGGAUGAGCUCGCGGCCUAUCAGCUUGUUGGUGGGGUAAUGGCCUACCAAGGCGUCGACGGGUAGCCGGCCUGAGAGGGUGGACGGCCACAUUGGGACUGAGACACGGCCCAGACUCCUACGGGAGGCAGCAGUGGGGAAUAUUGCACAAUGGGCGCAAGCCUGAUGCAGCGACGCCGCGUGGGGGAUGAAGGCCUUCGGGUUGUAAACUCCUUUCAACCAUGACGAAGCUUUUUGUGACGGUAGUGGUAGAAGAAGCACCGGCUAACUACGUGCCAGCAGCCGCGGUAA